Oncorhynchus keta (chum salmon) is the source of this 1503-nucleotide long non-coding RNA. RefSeq lists it as uncharacterized. The record is from RefSeq and is a predicted model, not a curated record. The transcript has 3 exons. NCBI's taxonomy places the organism in Eukaryota, Metazoa, Chordata, Actinopteri, Salmoniformes, Salmonidae.
CCAGGUGGCGCAGUGGUCUAAGGCACUGCAUCGCAGUGCUAGCUGUGCCACCAGAGAUUCUGGGUUCGAGCCCAGGCUCUGUCGCAGCCAGCCACGACCGGGAGGCCCAUGGGGCGGCGCACAAUUGGCCCAGCAUCGUCCGGGUUAGGCCGGCAGGGAUAUCCUUGUCUCAUUGAGCACUAGCGACUUCUGCCGGGCGCAGUGCACGCUGACCAGGGUUAUAGGUGUACAGUGUUUCCUUCGACACAUUGGUGCGGCCGGCUUCCGGGUUGGAUGUGCAUUGUGUCAAGAAGCAGUGCGGCUUGGUUGGGUUGUGUUUCGGAGGACGCAUGGCUCUCGACCUUCGUCUCUCCCAAGUCCCUACGGGAGUUGCAGCGAUGAAACAAGACUGUAACUACCAAUUGGGUAGAAAAAAGGGGUCAAAAUAAAUAAAUAAUAAAAAUAAUAAAUAAAAAGACAAUAUAUACUAAAGAAGUUUUCAUAAGGGCUAAAGGAUAGCUGAAGAGCAGUGAUGUUAUCAGCUUGACUCACAGGCCAGCCCAGAGCAGAGAUCAGUCUGUGUGUCACUGAUUUUCAAACGAAAAGGUUGUGUUUAAUGUCAUCUGCCUGGGAGAAAACAGCCAGGCCAAAACAAGCUCUUAAAAACAUCACACACACAGUACAUACCCGUACAGACACACAACAAGGAGGUCACAUGGAGGAGAGGCGUGCCGUGAGGUGACAUCACACACACAGUACAUACCCGUACAGACACACAACAAGGAGGUCACAUGGAAGAGAGGCGUGCCGUGAGGUGACAUCACACACACAGUACAUACCCGUACAGACACACAACAAGGAGGUCACAUGGAAGAGAGGCGUGCCGUGAGGUGACAUCACACACACAGUACAUACCCGUACAGACACACAACAAGGAGGUCACAUGGAGGAGAGGCGUGCCGUGAGGUGACAUCACACACAGUACAUACCCGUACAGACACACAACAAGGAGGUCACAUGGAAGAGAGGCGUGCCGUGAGGUGACAUCACACACAGUACAUACCAGUACAGACACACAACAAGGAGGUCACAUGGAAGAGAGGCGUGCCGUGAGGUGACAUCACACACACAGUACAUACCCGUACAGACACACAACAAGGAGGUCACAUGGAGGAGAGGCGUGCCGUGAGGUGACAUCACACACAGUACAUACCAGUACAGACACACAACAAGGAGGUCACAUGGAGGAGAGGCGUGCCGUGAGGUGUUGCUUUAUUUGUUUAUUGAAAACAGGUUUGCUGUUCUCUUGCGAUAUAUAAGAUGGAAGGGAGUUCCAUGCACUCACGGCCCUGUAUAAUACUGUACAUUCCCUUGAAUUUGUUCUAGACCUGGAGACUGUGAAAAGACCCCUGGUGGCAUGUAUGGAGGUGUGUGUGUGUGUGUGUGUGUGUGUGUGUGUGUGUGUGUGUGUGUGUGUGUGUGUGUGUGUGUGUGUGUGUGUGUGUGUGUGUGUGUGUUGUGUGU